This 448-nucleotide ribosomal RNA is filed under the name uncultured bacterium. Its description in RNAcentral is "bacterial SSU rRNA". It matches the Rfam family "Bacterial small subunit ribosomal RNA", at positions 329 to 793 of the family's 1533-position model. The record is from RNAcentral.
GGCCAGACUCCUACGGGAGGCAGCAGUGGGGAAUAUUGCACAAUGGGGGAAACCCUGAUGCAGCGACGCCGCGUGAGUGAAGAAGUAUUUCGGUAUGUAAAGCUCUAUCAGCAGGGAAGAAAAAAGACGGUACCUGACUAAGAAGCCCCGGCUAACUACGUGCCAGCAGCCGCGGUAAUACGUAGGGGGCAAGCGUUAUCCGGAUUUACUGGGUGUAAAGGGAGCGUAGACGGCAAUACAAGUCGGAAGUGAAGUACCCGGGCUUAACCUGGGAACUGCUUUGGAAACUGUAUGGCUGGAGUGCUGGAGAGGUAAGCGGAAUUCCUAGUGUAGCGGUGAAAUGCGUAGAUAUUAGGAGGAGCACCAGUGGCGAAGGCGGCUUACUGGACUGUAACUGACGUUGAGGCUCGAAAGCGUGGGGAGCAAACAGGAUUAGAUACCCUCGUAC